Eupeodes corollae is the source of this 1243-nucleotide long non-coding RNA. RefSeq lists it as uncharacterized. The record is from RefSeq and is a predicted model, not a curated record. NCBI's taxonomy places the organism in Eukaryota, Metazoa, Arthropoda, Insecta, Diptera, Syrphidae. The transcript is spliced from 2 exons.
GCGGCAUAGAAAUCAUCAAAGGCUCCCACAAGUGGGUAUAGACGGUUGUGAUUGAAGAAUCAAACAAAUUUUCGUAACUUCGAAAGCAAAAUUUCGGACACAUUAAAAAAUGGACUUGGAGAAUCUUUGAAUCCCAGCUCUCCAGUUGGAGAAGACAACGACCGACUUGGCAGAUCAUCGUGAUUGGUGUUGAUAAAAGUUACAGUAAUCCAUCGUGUUUCAGGAGGACAAAGGGUGACUCGGUUGAUCCGUAGUAUUCUCCGAGCUUCCAAUAUAUUUUUUAAACACUAUGUAUGUAUGUUUUAGUUUUAAGACGCCCUUCAAUUUUUGAAAUUGCUGCAAAUCAAAAACCAGUCUGCACCAUUUGGGUUCUUAUUUAUGGAAAAACCUUACCUUUUCGCUUAAAUUUAUUUUAAAUAAUAAAUUCUUCCUUCUUUAUCAUCAUUGUUUGUGUACUUACCUAGAAAUAAACAAAGAAAACAAUUUGAUUAGAUUUUGUUGAAAACAUUAACUUAAAAUUGUUUCUAAACAAAAUAUACCUGUAAAGGGUGUUUUAUAGAUAUUUAAUGUAACUUAAACAAGAAAAACAAUGACAGUCUUAAAAUGCUGACUCAAUUCAUAUGAACAAAUAACUUGAUCUAUUAAAUAACGUCCAUUUAAAUUUACAAACAAUAAUUUUAAAUUAAUUUCAAUCUGAUUUACAUCAAUUUUCAUAGAAUUGACUAAGUAUCAGAAUAGAAACGGAAAGAUAAAAAAUUUUUCCAACGAAUUAUCAAUUUAAAAUAAACAAUAGAAAUGAAUAAUUAAACUUUUUUGUUGAUAUCACUGUUAAUUCAAAACCGAUUAAAACUUUAUAACUAUGUUUAGUCUUUCUAAAUUUACAUUCUCAACUAAACGCCAUCGGUACCGGAAAAAUGUUUUCCAAAAACAAGUUAAUUUUUAUCGUAUUAUUUCUAAUAUUGGCGUUUGGGAAUUUUGUUCUAGUGAAAUCUUUUUAUACGACUACCGCAGAAGAAGAAUCUAUAACACUUCCCUCAAGUUAUACGGAAAUUCCAUAUGAUGCUUCAUCUGAAAUUCCUGUAACUGGCUUAAAGGGUCCUUUGCCAUUAGAACUUACUGCAGAUACUUUAAAAGUUCUUGUUGGAUAAUUUGUUUCAUGUCAUUUUUAUUGUUUUUAUCAGUGAAAUUAUUUAUUUAAAAAACAUUAUUUUAAUUUUAAUAAAAUAAAAAUAAUUUAUAAUGA